This 252-nucleotide ribosomal RNA is filed under the name uncultured bacterium. RNAcentral's name for it is "partial 16S ribosomal RNA". It matches the Rfam family "Bacterial small subunit ribosomal RNA", at positions 524 to 776 of the family's 1533-position model. The record is from RNAcentral.
UACGGAGGAUGCGAGCGUUAUCCGGAUUUAUUGGGUUUAAAGGGUGCGCAGGCGGUCUGUUAAGUCAGCGGUCAAAGCCCGGGGCUCAACCCCGGCCCGCCGUUGAAACUGGCAGUCUCGAGUUGGAGAGAAGUAUGCGGAAUGCGCGGUGUAGCGGUGAGAUGCAUAGAUAUCGCGCAGAACUCCGAUUGCGAAGGCAGCAUGCCGGCUCCACACUGACGCUGAGGCACGAAAGCGUGGGUAUCGAACAGG